UACAGAGGUCUCAAGCGUUGUUCGGAUUCAUUGGGCGUAAAGGGUGCGUAGGCGGCGCGGUAAGUCGGGUGUGAAAUCUCGGAGCUUAACUCCGAAACUGCAUUCGAUACUGCCGUGCUCGAGGAAUGGAGGGGAGACUGGAAUUCUCGGUGUAGCAGUGAAAUGCGUAGAUAUCGAGAGGAACACCAGUGGCGAAGGCGAGUCUCUGGACAUUUCCUGACGCUGAGGCACGAAAGCCAGGGGAGCAAACGGG
RNAcentral lists this ribosomal RNA (253 nucleotides) under uncultured bacterium. RNAcentral's name for it is "partial 16S ribosomal RNA". It matches the Rfam family "Bacterial small subunit ribosomal RNA", at positions 524 to 776 of the family's 1533-position model. The record is from RNAcentral.